GAUGAACGCUGGCGGCGUGCCUAAUACAUGCAAGUCGAGCGAACAGACGAGGAGCUUGCUCCUCUGACGUUAGCGGCGGACGGGUGAGUAACACGUGGAUAACCUACCUAUAAGACUGGGAUAACUUCGGGAAACCGGAGCUAAUACCGGAUAACAUGUUGAACCGCAUGGUUCAACAGUGAAAGACGGUCUUGCUGUCACUUAUAGAUGGAUCCGCGCCGCAUUAGCUAGUUGGUAAGGUAACGGCUUACCAAGGCAACGAUGCGUAGCCGACCUGAGAGGGUGAUCGGCCACACUGGAACUGAGACACGGUCCAGACUCCUACGGGAGGCAGCAGUAGGGAAUCUUCCGCAAUGGGCGAAAGCCUGACGGAGCAAUGCCGCGUGAGUGAAGAAGGUCUUCGGAUCGUAAAACUCUGUUAUUAGGGAAGAACAAAUGUGUAAGUAACUAUGCACGUCUUGACGGUACCUAAUCAGAAAGCCACGGCUAACUACGUG
RNAcentral lists this ribosomal RNA (497 nucleotides) under uncultured bacterium. RNAcentral describes it as "partial 16S ribosomal RNA". It matches the Rfam family "Bacterial small subunit ribosomal RNA", at positions 28 to 507 of the family's 1533-position model. The record is from RNAcentral.